AGAGUUUGAUCAUGGCUCAGAUUGAACGCUGGCGGCAGGCCUAACACAUGCAAGUCGAGCGGAAACGAGAAUAGCUUGCUAUUCGGCGUCGAGCGGCGGACGGGUGAGUAAUGCCUGGGAAAUUGCCCUGAUGUGGGGGAUAACCAUUGGAAACGAUGGCUAAUACCGCAUAAUAGCUUCGGCUUAAAGAGGGGGACCUUCGGGCCUCUCGCUUCAGGAUAUGCCCAGGUGGGAUUUGCUAGUUGGUGAGGUAAAGGCUCACCAAGGCGACGAUCCCUAGCUGGUCUGAGAGGAUGAUCAGCCACACUGGAACUGAGACACGGUCCAGACUCCUACGGGAGGCAGCAGUGGGGAAUAUUGCACAAUGGGCGCAAGCCUGAUGCAGCCAUGCCGCGUGUAUGAAGAAGGCCUUCGGGUUGUAAAGUACUUUCAGCAGUGAGGAAGGGUGUGUAGUUAAUAGCUGCAUACUUUGACGUUAGCUGCAGAAGAAGCACCGGCUAACUCCGUGCCAGCAGCCGCGGUAAUACGGAGGGUGCGAGCGUUAAUCGGAAUUACUGGGCGUAAAGCGCAUGCAGGUGGUUUGUUAAGUCAGAUGUGAAAGCCCGGGGCUCAACCUCGGAACUGCAUUUGAAACUGGUGAACUAGAGUGCUGUAGAGGGAGGUAGAAUUUCA
Molecule: ribosomal RNA, 672 nt
Filed under: uncultured Vibrionaceae bacterium
Lineage: Bacteria; Pseudomonadati; Pseudomonadota; Gammaproteobacteria; Vibrionales; Vibrionaceae
Description: bacterial SSU rRNA
Rfam family: Bacterial small subunit ribosomal RNA
Source: RNAcentral